CUAUAAGACUAGUUAAUAGAGGGGAGUAAAAGGCAGUUUUAGUGAGGAGGCAUACCUGGUGAGGACUGAAGGGGGGAAUAACCCAUCUCACCCUCCUUCUACUUUCUGGGGCAUAUAACAGCAACUCCUUAUAUCCCUUGUCCUAAACUUGAGUUGGGGGGAAGACUCUAUUCUUUCUCCCUUCUUCCAUUACACCCAAACCAACCCUCUGACACAAGUGGCACCCCAGAGGAAAAUCCACCAUUACCAACUAUCACAAACUGACAGUUGGAACUCUUAGGGCAAGAUAGCCAUCUUGAGUGACACUGCCUAAGAGUUAAUACACAGGAUCAAGAACAAACAUCAUUCAAGUUCUUGGAUUAGACCUCUAUCACACAAGAGAAUAUAUAACUGGAAAAGGAAGAUGUUGGGCUGCAUUGACUUCUCCCACAAAUGGCUAUUUCAAUAAUCCAGUGUGUGCCAAGUGUAAAACACUCCAGAGAAGGGAGAGUGAGUAUCCAGUAAGAGAGCAUGAGCAUCCUGUGUCCCCUCUCUUAUAAAGCUAGUUUUUGCCACUCC
Molecule: non-coding RNA, 558 nt
Organism: Monodelphis domestica (gray short-tailed opossum)
Lineage: Eukaryota; Metazoa; Chordata; Mammalia; Didelphimorphia; Didelphidae
Source: RefSeq, a predicted model, not a curated record